RNAcentral lists this ribosomal RNA (481 nucleotides) under Gemella haemolysans. Its description in RNAcentral is "bacterial SSU rRNA". It matches the Rfam family "Bacterial small subunit ribosomal RNA", at positions 28 to 492 of the family's 1533-position model. Lineage: Bacteria; Bacillati; Bacillota; Bacilli; Caryophanales; Gemellaceae. The record is from RNAcentral.
GACGAACGCUGGCGGCGUGCCUAAUACAUGCAAGUCGAGCGAAGUUUUUCUGGUGCUUGCACCGGAAAAACUUAGCGGCGAACGGGUGAGUAACACGUAAAGAACCCGCCUCAUAGACUGGGACAACUAUUGGAAACGAUAGCUAAUACUGGAUAACAGCAUUAACUGCAUGGUUGAUGUUUAAAAGUUGGUUUUGCUAACACUAUGAGAUGGCUUUGCGGUGCAUUAGCUAGUUGGUGGGGUAAAGGCCUACCAAGGCGACGAUGCAUAGCCGACCUGAGAGGGUGAUCGGCCACACUGGGACUGAGACACGGCCCAGACUCCUACGGGAGGCAGCAGUAGGGAAUCUUCCGCAAUGGGCGAAAGCCUGACGGAGCAACGCCGCGUGAGUGAAGAAGGAUUUCGGUUCGUAAAGCUCUGUUGUUAGGGAAGAAUGAUUGUGUAGUAACUAUACACAGAGAGACGGACCUAACCAAAAGCC